RNAcentral lists this ribosomal RNA (463 nucleotides) under uncultured bacterium. Its description in RNAcentral is "bacterial SSU rRNA". It matches the Rfam family "Bacterial small subunit ribosomal RNA", at positions 917 to 1382 of the family's 1533-position model. The record is from RNAcentral.
GGGCCCGCACAAGCAGUGGAGUAUGUGGUUUAAUUCGAAGCAACGCGAAGAACCUUACCAGGGCUUGACAUCCUCGGACGACACUAGAGAUAGUGUUUUCUCUUCGGAGACUGAGAGACAGGUGGUGCAUGGUUGUCGUCAGCUCGUGUCGUGAGAUGUUCGGUUAAGUCCGGCAACGAGCGCAACCCUUAUUGUUAGUUGCCAUCAUUUAGUUGGGCACUCUAGCGAGACUGCCGUUGACAAAACGGAGGAAGGUGGGGACGACGUCAAAUCAUCAUGCCCCUUAUGUCCUGGGCUACACACGUACUACAAUGGUAACAACAGCGAGCAGCGAAGCCGCGAGGCGAAGCAAAUCUUCAAAUGUUAUCUCAGUUCAGAUUGCAGGCUGCAACUCGCCUGCAUGAAGCAGGAAUUGCUAGUAAUGGCAGGUCAGCAUACUGCCGUGAAUACGUUCCCGGGCCUU